UUCGGAUUGUAAACUCCUGUUGCUCGGGACGAAAUGCUCCAACCUAAUACGUUGGAGUUUGACGGUACCGAGUGAGGAAGCCCCGGCUAACUCUGUGCCAGCAGCCGCGGUAAGACAGAGGUGCCAAGCGUUAGGCGGAAUCACUGGGCUUAAAGCGUGUGUAGGCGGACUUCUAAGUACCUUGUGAAAUCCUACGGCUUAACCGUGGAACUGCUUGGUAUACUGGUUGUCUUGAGCCACUUAGGGGCUACCGGAACAAAUGGUGGAGCGGUGAAAUGCGUAGAUAUCAUUUGGAACGCCAAUGGUGAAAACAGGUAGCUGGGAGUGUGCUGACGCUGAGACACGAAAGCCAGGGGAGCGAACGGGAUUAGAUACCCCGGUAGUCCUGGCCGUAAACGAUGUCCACUAGAUCGUAGCAGCUCUGACGUUGUUAUGGUCGAAGCAAAAGUGCUAAGUGGACCGCCUGGGAAGUACGGUCGCAAGGCUAAAACUCAAAGGAAUUGACGGGGGCUCACACAAGCGGUGGAGCAUGUGGUUCAAUUCGAAGCAACGCGCAGAACCUUACCUGGGCUUGACAUGCUAGGAUUAUCCCUAUGAAAGUAGGGUAGGCCCUUCGGGGUACAACUAGUACAGGUGCUGCAUGGCUGUCGUCAGCUCGUGUCGUGAGAUGUCGGGUUAAGUCCCUUAACGAGCGAAACC
This 699-nucleotide ribosomal RNA is filed under the name uncultured Geobacter sp. Its description in RNAcentral is "bacterial SSU rRNA". It matches the Rfam family "Bacterial small subunit ribosomal RNA", at positions 417 to 1103 of the family's 1533-position model. The record is from RNAcentral. Lineage: Bacteria; Pseudomonadati; Thermodesulfobacteriota; Desulfuromonadia; Geobacterales; Geobacteraceae.